GUUUCUGUAGUGUAGUGGUUAUCACGUUCGCCUCACACGCGAAAGGUCCCCGGUUCGAACCCGGGCAGAAACA
This is a non-coding RNA of Pelecanus crispus (Dalmatian pelican), 73 nucleotides long. The record is from Rfam. Lineage: Eukaryota; Metazoa; Chordata; Aves; Pelecaniformes; Pelecanidae.